GUGGCCGCGCAAGCCGUAUUCAGAGGUUCCGAGAGCGGACCGUUCGGCGUGAGCGCAGCUUUCUCCUACGACGCAUUUGAUUUCCUCCCGAAGGACGCCGCAACCGGUUGGGAAACGGCCUUAAAGUCGAGCGACGGCAGGUGGCCGGUGGUGCGCUUCUUGCGCGUCGUCGGUGUCUAGCCGGCUCGUCACACGGCGSGUAGCCCGACCGUGGKGUCGCGAAGCCCUCCCAUGGGCUUCUCCGCCUCCUCUCGUAAAAAGACGGGCACUGGACGUGGCAGUGGCUCUCCARCGKUGCGGGCGCACAGACUGWSUSKGYGGCCAGCGGCCUGSAGUCCACGUURGCUGCGCGAGAUGCGUUGGAGGUCGGCGGUUGGCGGCGAGUAGAUCGGUCACCCAUCCGACCCGUCUUGAAACACGGACCAAGGAGUCUAACAUGUGUGCGAGUCAAUGGGUCUCGAAUAAGCCCAGAGGCGCAAUGAAAGCAAAGGCCGGACUAGUUCCGGUCAGGUUGGGAUCCCCGGGCCUACGAGCUCGGGGCGCACCAACGACCCGUCCUAUCCGAUUCAUCGGUUGGGCGGAGUCUGAGCAUACACGUUGGGACCCGAAAGAUGGUGACCUAUGCCCGGGCAGGACGAGGCCAGAGGAAACUCUGGUGGAGGUCCGCAGCGGUUCUGACGUGCAAAUCGA
This 690-nucleotide ribosomal RNA is filed under the name Anelosimus eidur. Its description in RNAcentral is "eukaryotic LSU rRNA". The stretch from base 422 to 690 matches the Rfam family "Eukaryotic large subunit ribosomal RNA", at positions 665 to 901 of the family's 3401-position model. The record is from RNAcentral. Lineage: Eukaryota; Metazoa; Arthropoda; Arachnida; Araneae; Theridiidae.